GACGAACGCUGGCGGCGUGCUUAACACAUGCAAGUCGAACGGUAAGGCCCUUCGGGGUACACGAGUGGCGAACGGGUGAGUAACACGUGGGUGAUCUGCCCUGCACUUCGGGAUAAGCCUGGGAAACUGGGUCUAAUACCGGAUAGGACCCUGGGAUGCAUGUCCUGGGGUGGAAAGCUUUUGCGGUGUGGGAUGGGCCCGCGGCCUAUCAGCUUGUUGGUGGGGUGAUGGCCUACCAAGGCGACGACGGGUAGCCGGCCUGCGUGGGUAACCGGCCACACUGGGACUGAGAUACGGCGCAGACGCCUACGGGAGGCAGCAGUGGGGAAUAUUGCACAAUGGGCGCAAGCCGGAUGCAGCGACGCCGCGUGAGGGAUGACGGCCUUCGGGUUGUAAACCUCUUUCAGCAUCGACGAAGCGAAAGUGACGGUAGGUGCAGAAGAAGGACCGGCCAACUACGUGCCAGCAGCCGCGGUAA
Molecule: ribosomal RNA, 478 nt
Filed under: uncultured bacterium
Lineage: Bacteria
Description: partial 16S ribosomal RNA
Rfam family: Bacterial small subunit ribosomal RNA
Source: RNAcentral